RNAcentral lists this ribosomal RNA (253 nucleotides) under uncultured bacterium. RNAcentral describes it as "partial 16S ribosomal RNA". It matches the Rfam family "Bacterial small subunit ribosomal RNA", at positions 524 to 776 of the family's 1533-position model. The record is from RNAcentral.
UACGUAGGGUGCGAGCGUUAAUCGGAAUUACUGGGCGUAAAGCGUGCGCAGGCGGUUCGUUAAGUCAGAUGUGAAAGCCCCGGGCUCAACCCGGGAACUGCAUUUGAAACUGGCGGGCUUGAGUGUGGCAGAGGGGGGUGGAAUUCCGCGUGUAGCAGUGAAAUGCGUAGAGAUGCGGAGGAACACCGAUGGCGAAGGCAGCCCCCUGGGCCAACACUGACGCUCAGGCACGAAAGCGUGGGGAGCAAACAGG